This 138-nucleotide ribosomal RNA is filed under the name Idaea seriata (small dusty wave). RNAcentral's name for it is "partial 16S ribosomal RNA". Lineage: Eukaryota; Metazoa; Arthropoda; Insecta; Lepidoptera; Geometridae. The record is from RNAcentral.
UGUAAGCCAGGUUGGUUUCUAUCUUUUAGAAAAUUAAAUAUUUUAGUACGAAAGGAUUGAAUAUUUUAAUUAAAUUAAUUUAAUUGAUUAUUAUUAAAUUGAUAAUUAAAUUUAAUUAUUUUUAUAUUUUAAUUUUAA